Molecule: ribosomal RNA, 253 nt
Filed under: uncultured bacterium
Lineage: Bacteria
Description: partial 16S ribosomal RNA
Rfam family: Bacterial small subunit ribosomal RNA
Source: RNAcentral
UACGAAGGGGGCUAGCGUUGUUCGGAUUUACUGGGCGUAAAGCGCACGUAGGCGGAUCGUUAAGUCGGGGGUGAAAUCCUGGAGCUCAAUUCCAGAACUGCCUUCGAUACUGGCGAUCUUGAGUCCGGAAGAGGUGAGUGGAACUCCUAGUGUAGAGGUAGAAUUCGUAGAUAUUAGGAAGAACGCCAGUGGCGAAGGCGGCUCACUGGUCCGGUACUGACGCUGAGGUGCGAAAGCGUGGGGAGCAAACAGG